AUUGAACGCUGGCGGCAGGCUUAACACAUGCAAGUCGAGCGGGGGAAGGUAGCUUGCUACUGGACCUAGCGGCGGACGGGUGAGUAAUGCUUAGGAAUCUGCCUAUUAGUGGGGGACAACAACUCGAAAGGGAUGCUAAUACCGCAUACGUCCUACGGGAGAAAGCAGGGGAUCGUCGGACCUUGCGCUAAUAGAUGAGCCUAAGUCGGAUUAGCGAGUUGGUGGGGUAAAGGCCUACCAAGGCGACGAUCUGUAGCGGGUCUGAGAGGAUGAUCCGCCACACUGGGACUGAGACACGGCCCAGACUCCUACGGGAGGCAGCAGUGGGGAAUAUUGGACAAUGGGGGGGACCCUGAUCCAGCCAUGCCGCGUGUGUGAAGAAGGCCUUAUGGUUGUAAAGCACUUUAAGCGAGGAGGAGGCUACUUUAGUUAAUACCUAGAGAUAGUGGACGUUACUCGCAGAAUAAGCACCGGCUAACUCUGUGCCAGCCGCCGCCGUAA
RNAcentral lists this ribosomal RNA (501 nucleotides) under uncultured bacterium. RNAcentral's name for it is "partial 16S ribosomal RNA". It matches the Rfam family "Bacterial small subunit ribosomal RNA", at positions 30 to 523 of the family's 1533-position model. The record is from RNAcentral.